UGGUGGAGUGAUUUGUCUGGUUAAUUCCGAUAACGAACGAGACCUUAACCUGCUAAAUAGUCACGCUCAGUUUUACUGGGUGCUUGACUUCUUAGAGGGACUAUAGACGUUUAGUCUAUGGAAGUUUGAGGCAAUAACA
Molecule: ribosomal RNA, 139 nt
Filed under: uncultured eukaryote
Lineage: Eukaryota
Description: partial 18S ribosomal RNA
Rfam family: Eukaryotic small subunit ribosomal RNA
Source: RNAcentral